AUCUUUGCGGUAGAUCUAAUUUUUAAACUCUUAUUUCAUAUUUAAUGCCCUCUGCCCUCUGUUAAAGAUGGAAAAAUCAACAUUUGUGCGAACUAUAUUUAGAUCUCUCAGAAAGAUUGCAGGGAUAAUCCUGAUAAUUUUCCUAAUGGGUGCCCUUUUGCCCCCCUCUCUUCCAUAAAAUGUAUUCCUCCUCAUGGCUUUGUAAGUCCAGCACUCCAGAGAAAAAGUCACAUGUUGGACGAGCAAUCAAGGCCCUGCAUGUCAAAAAGGAAACGGAAAAAGGAGGUUGAAAAAAAUUCAAGUCCUCCCUGAACCCCUUUUUAAUUAUUAUAUAUAGUUUUAAAACUCAGUUUAAAUUUUUCAAAUCAGUUUCAGUGCAUUCAAACGAGUCCCAAUCGAGUACAUUAGUAUAGAGUGUAAAACAAUCAGCUGGAUUCAUAAUGGGAACAGAAAAGCAUGCUGAUUUCACUGACUUUUCCUCACAACGCCGCAGCCAGCUCUGUAAUGGAUUCUGAUGGGGGGGCUUCAUGGUAAACAAAUCUAACCCCCCCUCCCUCGCCCCUCACACCGCCGUGCGGUUUUAUGCCAUCUUUACCAACGAUAUUACAUCAGACUAAUGCAUGCUAUCAAAAAUAAUAAAAACAACCUCAUUUCAUGAAGCAUUUGCACCUCUCUGCCUCUCGCCGAGAGACGCCAGAUAGUUCUGCGUUUGCAGAACUGACCACACUUUGCCGGCCGUCGUUCGACUCGAUCUGUGAUUGCUGGGUAAUUUCACUCUUGUUUUAUGUUGCACUUCAGGAAAAAAAAAAGGAGGCAAAAGAAAAGCAACAGAAUGACAUUUUGGAAAGAAGAAUUGGUGGAAGCUUCAAUCCUGCAGCACGUUGAAGGUUAUUUCCUAAAGCAUUUCAGCAAUUAUCAUUAAGAUGUCAAAAGCAAAUUCGUGUUGUUGCAUCACGAUAAAUGAUUGUAUCUUUUCGCCCCUUUCUUCGUCUUAAGCACCUCUAUUAAAACCAGCUGCAGCACGUUUAGCCCUGUGUGUCCGUGACACCACGACAACGGUGCAGUCCGUGCUGCCGAGACACUGAUGUGAACGUGGACGGAAGCUGACGUAUCCGGCUGCGAGCGAACAUAUAACGAACUCCCGUAAACACUUUUUUUUUUUCCGCCUGUCAUCAAAGUGCAAAACAGACGACCACAAACUUAAUUUCCAUAACCUCUUGAUUUUUAAUAGCCCAAGUAAUUGAGACAAGGGAGACAAUACAUAAAAUAUAGUGCCGAGGCAAAUGUAUUUACAUAAUGGAAACGACAGAAUUGGUUCCACAACAUUAAGCAUUGCAUAUGAGCGCCGCACAAACGCCGGCGCGCACAUUAGCCGUCGGGGCCUUUUGGGGGAGGCGAGAGAUGGGGGUUGUGGUGUGUGUGUGUGUGUGUGUGUGUGUGUUUGCGAGGUGAGGGCUAAUUUAUCAGCGCUGCUGAUUCACUCUGAUAACACAGGACAUUAAGGGGCCCCGGCUCAGGGGGCCGUUUGGAAAUGAACUGUGUCCGUGGCCGGAGCUGGAUCCCACACUUUAGAUAUGUUCUCCCUGUUUUCAUGCGUUUCCUAAAGCGUGUGAUUAUUAUUAUUAUUUUUCCCCUCACUUCAGACUUCAGCACAGAUUAUCCAUAAGCCUGGCCAAAUUUUCAUUUUCUUCCUCCUGGUGUCAAAUCUUUUCCUCAGAAAUGCCAAACGAUUGUCAUCUUCAGAUUUUCACACAAUUAUUUUAAAGCGAAAAGGAGGAAAAAAAAAAAGUCAGAGGGAUUACUGCAUGGCAUUUAGGGCUUAAUCUCUUGAAAAGGCUGCAGAUUAUUUGUAGAUGGACUCGCUAAAACCUUUGUGUGCAUUCAAAAGGCUGCAGCUUCUAUUAAUUUCACUUUUUUUUUUUUUUUUUUUUUUUUUUUGGCAGUCUGACACCAUUUGGUUAAUGCUUUGAAUUCCUAGAAAUCACUGCGUUCCCCCAGCUUUACCUUUAAACAUUUCCAACAGCCCUCUUUUCCUUUCCUCGGACCUCUCUCCGUAUCGGUUUACCGUUUAUUUAUGACCGUGUUUGACCGGCCUUUUAAUCAAUCACAGCCUUUUAGCAUCUCCAAAGGGAUGCCGCUAACACGAAUAAAAUCCGGCGCAGUAACACCUGAGUGGAUGCACCGCAGUCCAGUUUUUUUCCCCAUGAAGGCACUCUGUGGAUUAAUAGCUGUCAAUCAUCUGCGUACGGUUUGACUGUGGGGUACAGUCCUUCCUCUGUAUCCACAAAAAUAAAGCAAUCCAGAGAUUUAUGUACCAACAUUGCUUUUUUAUUUAUUCUUCUUAUAGCUACACUUAUCAGCAUGUGGUCCCAGUACAGUAUAUCAGCAUGUCAUCAAGAGUACCGGUGGGGGGACGUGAAAAACGCAGUGUGUAACAUAAUUUAUGUCACAAUUACCGUUUACGCCUUCAGUUGCAGCGAGGCGGCAGCAGAGGAGUCUGGUUUGGGUUUUUUAAAGGAGAGGAGGGGGGGGGAGAGGGGGAAGGAUGGGAAAGAUGAGGGUCGGGUCACGCAGGAUGAUGAGGGUCCUCCCACAUCCGAUCCCCCCCCCACUUCUCCCGGAAGACAGGUGCCUUAUUGUGUGACAUCCAGAGUGGAAUAAGGGAGCGUGAACUGCAGGCGGUUCAGUUUUCAGCACCGCCGGCAGUGAUAGAGGGGGGCGUCGAGUCGAGGUCAGAGGUCAGGCAGGAGAGCGCUUUUUAACAUCCACACAUCCGUAUUUGGUCCAAGAGAUUUAUUACUAUGUCUAAGGAGCUUUUUCUGGCAAGCAAAAUGGGUUUCUAUGUAGAUUUUUUUUCUCUUUUUUUGCACCGGAAUAUUCUAAGCAAACCUUAUUUCUUUUAAAGAUGAAGCAUGGCAACUUUUGGAAGCUCUUUAUGUCAUGAAAAUUGGAGUUUAAAAUGACAGAGUAUGACUCUGUUUCAUCCUAACCACUAUAACUUUAAAACAUUUGGAAAAAUCCAGACAUUUUCCGCCUUGGCAGGCAUUGGUCAGUUACUGGUAUGAAGGUAUAUCGAGGUUUUAAAAUGUUACUUUAGACUGAUAAGGCGAAACCAGGCCAUUUAAGUGAGUGUGUGUGUGUGUGUGUGUGAUGGAGCUGUGGUUGGAAUAUCCAUGUUCACAGCCAAAGAAUAACUUCAUACAGAUGAAACAAAAAGUCUGCAAGCAUCCUUGGGCCAGAUACAGCAGUCAAGGUACAUUAAAUCUGUAAAAGGUUGUGGUUUCAAAACCACAAAAAACAAUUUAUCCUUUUAAAGUGGUGUAAAAGUCAUCUUUAAGGGUAACUUCUUAGGUUCUUUUGGAGCAGAGAAGUUCAAUGUGUGAAAAAACCAAGAUGUACAAAUGACUUCUAUCACUAUAGCAACUUUUUUAAAAGUACAGAUGGAGAAUCUGUUAAGCAACAGAAAGCAGGCCAAGGACUCUGAUUAUAGCCUGAUUUAGUAACAAGCUAAUCUCAGUAUGCACUCAAAACUAAUGCUACAUUUAUUAGGUGUUUAUUUUGCAUUUCUACUUUACAAAACUAUUUUUAUUAAAGAGUUAUAUUUGUUAAGCAGUAGUAGUUUUUCAGGAACACUGGCGAUGCACCGAGCCACUUUUUUUCCACUUCCGACACCGAUGCAGACAUCUGAGGUUAAGUGUCGGCCGAUACCGAUCCGAUCAGAAAACCAGUUCAAUUAAAAAGUUUCCUUUUUUAAACAGACAUAAAUCUACUAAGUUGCAAAUUUAUUUGAUAACUCCACAUCAAGUACCAAACACUUAAGUAUUAUGGAUCGUUCACAUUGUCACGGAUACCAAUCUAUAAUUUUUUUUUUCAAAAUUGAGACCAAUAUAGAUAUUAUCAGAUUGGUACAUCUUUAGUGCAUUCCACUUUUUGCUCAAUUACCGUUGGAAAUAUGCAAACCUCCCUGACCUCUGUGACCCCGAGAGGAUACCUGAUUUUACAAGGAGAAAAGAGAACGUCAUGUAAACAGGAGUCAAGAUGUUUCCCCAAAAAGACAAAAAACCAAGUCUCGUGUUUGAGUUUAAAGUGCAGGUUUGUGUUUGACUUCUUUUAAACCCUCUCUGCCAUGAUUCAAACAACGCUUAAAUUCUUUUUACAGGAAAGGUUUGACAAAAAAUCCAUUUUUCAUGUCUCGUUUUGCGUCUUGCCAACUCGAAGCAACGGCCCGGCUUCCAUUCCAGCAGCUGCAUGCACAUACGUUCGGUGUCAAGCCUGUUUUUUCUCCAGUCAUUUUCCUGUCUGCCUCCCCGCUAUCAUCUGUCAGAUUGUGAGAGUUAAAAAAAGAAAAAACCUAAAGAAAAAAAAACAACAAAACAAUAUUUCAGUGGAAAUGCUGUAACCGCUACAGCAAUUUUUAAGCAACGGCACAAAGCACAGUGACAAACGCAUGCAAAUUGAGAACACAAGUCUUUGUAAUGUGGAGCACAAUGAGCACAUGGAGGCUGAAUGAUGGCAGCAAUAAAAAGCUAGCUGUGAGGAAUAAAUGAAAAUAUAUACAAAAAAAAAGAAAAGUCAGGAAUGUGCUCAUUGCCAAAGCUCACUGGAAAAGGAUCAGUGGAGUAAAAAAAAGGG
Molecule: long non-coding RNA, 4632 nt
Organism: Poecilia latipinna (sailfin molly)
Lineage: Eukaryota; Metazoa; Chordata; Actinopteri; Cyprinodontiformes; Poeciliidae
Exons: 2
Source: RefSeq, a predicted model, not a curated record